Molecule: long non-coding RNA, 1487 nt
Filed under: Triticum aestivum (bread wheat)
Lineage: Eukaryota; Viridiplantae; Streptophyta; Magnoliopsida; Poales; Poaceae
Description: long non-coding RNA (TAES_LNC027138)
Source: RNAcentral
UUACAAACCUCACGACGUGCUGCAUAUAAAUAUGCGCAGGCCUGACCGACCUAAACAAUCCUAGACGCACUAGUUGUCCUAAUACUACACGGACCCAACACGCCUGAACAGCAAAGCAAACUCCUAGCCGGACUCAACAUGGACACGUACAACUAAUCCUAUCCAAACUAAUAUGGAUACAGCCAAGACUCUCUAAGGUGAACUUAUACACCUAGCCUACCUUGAUCAUCAUUAGUCUAAAUCUAGAAUAAACUCCUACUACAGACUCAACCAAUACUAUGACUAAGACAAGAUUACCUAACAAUCUCCCCCUAAUCUUGACUUGUCAUCUUCCGGUACUCUCCUGAUUUUGACUUGCUGAAUAUCUGCAUCUUGUCGACUCAUCGACUCAACCGCCAUAUCCGUACACUGAGUAUGACCCGCCUGAAAACAUGCAGAACCUCUUUGCUCUACAAUGUUGUGCCAUCGCUAUUGCUUGGCCGCUGCCUUGCACUCGGUCCGCACCAUACUCCUUGUACUUGCUUGCAGCAGAUCCACUCUCCACUGCCCGCACACUUCCUCGCUUUACGAUGGCUUCGCCUACCAUCGUCCGCCUUCGGCAUCACACCGAAUCCACACUGGCCGCAACCAGGACGCUCCACGAGGACAUGGACAUGACUCACGGAACACCGUGCACACCGCUUCCACUUCAACGAAUCAUCACCAAGACAAGCACUUGGACACGACGACGACUCACAGACGCAACGAUGACGACUGAUCGUGCAAACCCGCACGACUCCUUGAUUCAUCCAACUCCCCCCGGACGACGAUCUUGAUGAGCUCCAGCGCCGCACCUCGGCACCACCUCUCCCAUCAAUGAUCUUCUUCCACAGCCUUGCCGACGACAACCUACUGUCUCCCUCCUUGUCGCUCCGACGAACGACGAUCGCUUGUUCUCCUCUUCGCCGCAUCAUCCAGCGACUUCAUGGCCCGCCCCGAGGCACUAGUCGGGUCGCAACCCCGGGGCAAGCGCUCGACUCCUGAACCUUGCUCUGAUACCAAUUGUUGGAACUCGCCCACAGGAUCAAUCACAUCAAAUCACAUGAACACACACGUGCAAAAACUUUGGCCAAGGGCACGUGUCGUGCCCCUUCUUCUCUUUAUUUCUUUUCUCUUUUUCUCAAUACCACGGUGUUACAAACCUCACGACGUGCUGCAUAUAAAUAUGCGCAGGCCUGACCGACCUAAACAAUCCUAGACGCACUAGUUGUCCUAAUACUACACGGACCCAACACGCCUGAACAGCAAAGCAAACUCCUAGCCGGACUCAACAUGGACACGUACAACUAAUCCUAUCCAAACUAAUAUGGACACAGCCAAGACUCUCUAACGUGAACUUAUACACCUAGCCUAAUCACCCGCUACCUUGAUCAUCAUUAGUCUAAAUCUAGAAUAAACUCCUACUACAGACUCAACCAAUACUAUGACUAGGACAAGAUUACCUAACA